CCCCCACGGUACUACCAUAGCCUAGCAUUCAGCUACAAUCGAUGGCAAUUUUGGUAGCAAGGUAAUGGCGAGGGUGAACUAAACUACAUGGGAUUUAUAGCUAGCAUAGAAGUACGAGUAAUAUUCCUGAUGCAUCUAAUAAAACAUCCAGUGCAUAGUAAAAAAUAUUUAGGAGAAUGAUCAAAGUGAACUUGCCUUGUCCAAGGUUGUGAUAGUUCUCGCACUCUUCGCAACAACAAUGAUUACACUCCACACAAUCUAAAAUAAAAAAAACAUACACACAAUAAACACAACAUUCAAUACAAAAGCCAUGCCAUGAUGCAUAUGCCAUGAUGAUGCACGCAAG
This 346-nucleotide long non-coding RNA is filed under the name Brachypodium distachyon (stiff brome). Its description in RNAcentral is "long non-coding RNA (BDIS_LNC005566)". Lineage: Eukaryota; Viridiplantae; Streptophyta; Magnoliopsida; Poales; Poaceae. The record is from RNAcentral.